Molecule: long non-coding RNA, 646 nt
Organism: Myotis davidii
Lineage: Eukaryota; Metazoa; Chordata; Mammalia; Chiroptera; Vespertilionidae
Exons: 2
Source: RefSeq, a predicted model, not a curated record
UCCGGCCCGCGGGAACCCAGCCCGCUCAGCCUCGGCCUCUUGUUCCUCCCAGGAUAGCGAGGCUGCGGCAGGAGGCCCGGGAGCAGGAGCAACUGCAGGCCGAGGAGAAGGCCCGUAAGGCCCGAGAGAGAGAGGCCUGGGUGCAGCUCAAGGAGCAGGAAGUGCUGCAGCUGCAGGAGGAUGCAAAAACCUUCAUCACCCGAGAGAACCUGGAUGCUCGGAUAGAAGCAGCGUUGGACUCCCCAAAGAGCUACAACUGGGCCAUCACCAAAGAGGGACAGGUGGUCAGGCCACAGCACAAGGGCAACUAAGGGCCCAGUAAGGACAGUGCCUGCCCAGGGACUGUGUGUGUGUGUAUACGGGUGUGGCCUGGGAUAAAACGGAGGUGUUUCUUCUGAAGAAGGAAGCUCAACCUCUUCCAUUGUGGCCCUCUUGUUUUGGCCUCUGCAUCUACCAGUUGACCAGUGCCCUUUUCUGCCCCAUGUACAACUGCCAGCACAGCACCAGACCCUACGGUUUCCAUCUUACAGAGGGGCAGACUGGACCAUAGGCGUGAGGUCAUCUCCUGAGUAUCAUCGAGGGUGGUCAGGGGUUGGCAAAUCUGGUCUACUACCUGUUUUUGUAAAUAAAGGUUUGUUUGAAUACA